UACGUAUGGAGCAAGCGUUAUCCGGAUUUACUGGGUGUAAAGGGUGCGUAGGUGGCGCGUCAAGUCAGAUGUGGAAUACCGGGGCUCAACCCCGGAGCUGCAUUUGAAACUGGCGUGCUGGAGUACAGGAGAGGCAGGCGGAAUUCCUAGUGUAGCGAUGAAAUGCGUAGAUAUUAGGAGGAACACCAGUGGCGAAGGCGGCCUGCUGGACUGUCACUGACACUGAGGCACGAAAGCGUGGGGAGCAAAC
Molecule: ribosomal RNA, 250 nt
Filed under: uncultured prokaryote
Description: partial 16S ribosomal RNA
Rfam family: Bacterial small subunit ribosomal RNA
Source: RNAcentral